Non-coding RNA from Tetranychus urticae (two-spotted spider mite), 1414 nucleotides. NCBI's taxonomy places the organism in Eukaryota, Metazoa, Arthropoda, Arachnida, Trombidiformes, Tetranychidae. The record is from RefSeq and is a predicted model, not a curated record.
UGGUUAUUUGGUUAAUUGUUGAAUUUUUGAAGCAGAACGAUAAAGUCUACGACAUCUAGUGAAAAUUAAUUUAACUUACUUUUAUUUGAGAUGAUAGAGUUUUACUUUGACCACUUCUUAUUAUCCAAUAGUUCAUAAGUCUACAUUUUUUUACCUGUUUUGUGAUUUUAGUUUGGAUUAGAUUUAAUCAAAAAGUGUUUAACAAUUUCAUGUAUAAUUGUUAUUUACCUUGUCCACUGUGGUUGCAGCGAUUAUAUUUAACAACGUUAAAGCACCAAACGCUACUAUCCCUAAUGUUAUGAUAUCAAUCAAAACAGUUGCCGGUACCAGCUGAUUGUUGGAGUCAAUAGAAGAGUAAAGAAAGUCGAGGCACAAAGAUGUGUAGACAAUCAAUAAAAUAAUGUGAGUAAAUGACCAGAAAACAUUGUGAAUAAGGACAACCAUUGGUACAAUAAUAAUUGCCAACCAAAUUAGUUCAAGGAAGAAGAACUGUUUAUAACUAAUUAUUUCAUUUUUAUACUUGGAAGCAUCAAAGAGAACCAUGUUUGUUAUGAAUAAACCAGCGGUACCAACACAAGUCACCUUAGUCAUGAUGGCAUGAGAUUGGCUCAUAAAGAAAAAGACUCUCCUGAAAUUUGAACAAUUAUAUGAACCCAUAAUUUUAUCCAAAUUGAAAUGCAACUGGCGAAUUUGAUGAAACACCCGAAUUACAGUGAAAUUAUUGUUCCAUUCAAGAUAACCAAUGGACAAGUGGACAAUAAGAAACAUAGAAGCUGCUAUAAAGGAUAAAAGGUUGAACGCAUCUUCACCAGGAAUACCAAGCUGAUGAUCACCCAACAUAAUCUUGAAGAGAUCAGAUGAAAAGAUUGCCAAUAAGAGAAACCUUACUGUGGCUAGAACUGACCACAGGUCCACGACAAUGUUGAGAAUAAUCCUGUUUUUAGAAACCGUCUUUGACUGGGAAUAACCUCGAUUACAAGCAAACCAAAAGUAACCCGAUGAUUCUAACGUGUUUAAAUCUUUGAUUAAAUUGGUUUUAGAGCAUCUUCGAUCUAAAUAGGUAGACCAAUGAUUUAAAAACUGGUUAAACAUAUUUUGCAUCUUUAAUAAGAUGGCGAAAAAUUGAUUCAGUGGUCGAGAUUGUGUUAAUUUUUGACAGUUUCCAAUUUGCAUCAAACCAGAUUCAUACAUAAUCUGUUCUGGUUAAAAAAUCUAAGCUGAGUUUAUUCGUACUCAUUAACUCAUUUUAUUUUUGCUCUUGAAUUUCAACUCUUACAGGUAGACAUGAAGAUGAAAAUUAUUACUAUUAAUCAUGGUCUAUAAAUGUCACGGAAUGCAACUCCAUGUACACUCGAUAUAAAUUUCCUGGUAUAUUUAUUGGCAUUAUCCUGAUAAAUGUAUAUAAUUUUAUUGA